This 119-nucleotide ribosomal RNA is filed under the name Triticum aestivum (bread wheat). Lineage: Eukaryota; Viridiplantae; Streptophyta; Magnoliopsida; Poales; Poaceae. The record is from RNAcentral.
GGAUGCGAUCAUACCAGCACUAAAGCACCGGAUCAAAUCAGAACUCUGAAGUUAAGCGUGCUUGGGUGAGAGUAGUACUAGGAUGGGUGACCUCUUGGGAAGUCCUCAUGUUGCUUUCC